RNAcentral lists this transfer RNA (104 nucleotides) under Glyphomitrium crispifolium. Its description in RNAcentral is "tRNA-Leu". It matches the Rfam family "tRNA". Rfam says of the family: Transfer RNA (tRNA) molecules are approximately 80 nucleotides in length. Their secondary structure includes four short double-helical elements and three loops (D, anti-codon, and T loops). Further hydrogen bonds mediate the characteristic L-shaped molecular structure. tRNAs have two regions of fundamental functional importance: the anti-codon, which is responsible for specific mRNA codon recognition, and the 3' end, to which the tRNAs corresponding amino acid is attached (by aminoacyl-tRNA synthetases). tRNAs cope with the degeneracy of the genetic code in two manners: having more than one tRNA (with a specific anti-codon) for a particular amino acid; and 'wobble' base-pairing, i.e. permitting non-standard base-pairing at the 3rd anti-codon position. RNAcentral also lists the same sequence under 1 other name. Lineage: Eukaryota; Viridiplantae; Streptophyta; Bryopsida; Dicranales; Rhabdoweisiaceae. The record is from RNAcentral.
AGGGGGUAUGGCGGAAUUGGUAGACGCUACGGACUUAAAUAAUUUGAGCUUUAGUAAAUCCGUUGGCUUUAUUGACCGUGAGGGUUCAAGUCCCUCUACCCCCA